GGUCGGAUGGCGUAGUUGGUUAUCGCAUCUGUCUAACACACAGAAGGUCCCCAGUUCGAGCCUGGGUUCGAUCA
Molecule: non-coding RNA, 74 nt
Organism: Thozetella sp. PMI_491
Lineage: Eukaryota; Fungi; Ascomycota; Sordariomycetes; Chaetosphaeriales; Chaetosphaeriaceae
Source: the annotation of a GenBank genome assembly